GCGAUGUGCGCCGGAAAGCGGCGAGAGGCAGCCGCAUGUGGUUUUGAAGGGAGCAGGCCGCGCAUGCGCGCUGGCAGCAGCACAAAAAUACAAUCGUUGGAGCCGCUGACCACCAGAUGGAGCAAAGCUUGUCCAAAACGUCAGUGGGGUGGAAGAAAGAGCCUAGCAGGGAGAACAUCGCAGAUGGCGAAGGAUGCGCACGGGCAAAACAUCGUAGGUGGAGAGCAGUGCUGAUGAAAAGUGCACCCCCAUUUGAACCCGUAGGGAGGGGCUACGGCGUUUUACAGACCGCAAAAGAGAUUAAGGAUUAGGAGGAGUAAGAAACAACGCCGGGGCACAGUUAUAAACUAGCUGAAUCUAUUAUGUCGAAGAAGAAAAAAAAAACCAUCUUUUUUAGUCGCUGUGCCUGUAGCAAAAUAUAAAUGUUGGAAGGAAAUGGUGGCUUGUGUUAAAAUGACACUGGAAACGUUUGUUAUAUUAAAUACAUAAAUGAUGUGAAUGUAACUAUUA
Molecule: long non-coding RNA, 510 nt
Organism: Syngnathoides biaculeatus (alligator pipefish)
Lineage: Eukaryota; Metazoa; Chordata; Actinopteri; Syngnathiformes; Syngnathidae
Exons: 3
Source: RefSeq, a predicted model, not a curated record